RNAcentral lists this ribosomal RNA (122 nucleotides) under Erysiphaceae sp. Its description in RNAcentral is "partial small subunit ribosomal RNA". It matches the Rfam family "Eukaryotic small subunit ribosomal RNA", at positions 1660 to 1779 of the family's 1831-position model. The record is from RNAcentral. Lineage: Eukaryota; Fungi; Ascomycota; Leotiomycetes; Helotiales; Erysiphaceae.
UUGUACACACCGCCCGUCGCUACUACCGAUUGAAUGGCUUAGUGAGGUCUCCGGAUUGGCCUAGGGAGAGUGGCAACACUCACCCAGGGCCGGAAAGUUGUCCAAACUUGGUCAUUUAGAGG